UCCAGAUGGAGAGGAAGGGUUCGGAGAGCAUGAUCCUGCUGCUAAUCAACUGGAGCUGGAGCAGGAGGAAUCCCUGAAGCUGAUGUUAACAGCGGAUGGCGAUGUGGAGGAAAGCAAUCGCCACAGCGCCAAACGUGCUAGAAAGAAUUUCUGAUUAGAAGUGUAGUUCGUUGUUAGUACAGUCAGAUUAGGAAAAGAUGCCUUUGCCUUGUUGCUGACAUGUGUACUCAGUAAUUAGUUUGAGUGUGUUGAGUAGAUCUCUAGGUUUGUAAGUGGUUCAUCGGUGGAGUAGUGAACUCUGUACUGUAAUGCAGGGGAGUGCCUGCUGUUGUCAACAAGUAUAAAUCAACGUGUCUAAGCGAGGCUUAUUUGUGUGACAUGCAUCUCCAUUACCAAUAACGGCUCCUUUGGUCCAGGUCCCGUCUGGUCUGCCACCGCAUUAACUGACGGCGCUUUCUGAGCAGUGGGCCAUCUAACUGUUUGGGCAAAUAGUCCCGUGAGCAUACACCUGACGCUAUACUCAUUGCAACACUGAUCGCGAGAGAAACAAGUGGCACAGAUUCCGAGCUCACAGGCGCUCAAGCUCACAUGCGUAUUUUCGCAAUUAGGAUGUAUACCUGAAGGAGUGAAUCUACUAGUUCAGCUGAAAAUUGAUCUCUAUUUGGUUUCUGUUUUUGUGUUUGGUUUUGCCGGCCGCUCGUCCUUCGUAUGCUCAUCCAUCUUGGCUGCUCUGCUUGCCUGCUUCUCCUCUCUAACUCAGGAGGGAGCAGCAGGCAUAGAAGAAAUCCCAAGCCAAUUUCGCUCAGCUGUAGCAUCUUUCACUGACAAUAAGUCUGCACAACAGCUUGGUGAGGUUUGUUCUCUACAAAGAUUUAAAAACAUAAGUCUUUCAGUUGCUCUCUACUCGCUGGUAAAAAAGCAAAGUGAAUUCCCUUUAUAAAUACCCAGCUGAAGAAUACCUUAGUUAAAUCAAUCAAUAGUGAGUUGUAUUACUAGAGAGUAGAGACGUAAGAAAACGCCCUUAGGUGUGACACUCUACGUGGUUACCUUCUUAGUCCCAGCUAUUGACAUCAUACUAAGAUCACACACUGCCAAGCGGAAUGUUUGUUUCUAUGUACUUCUGGAUGCUAAUUUACCGUUCUUGAUUUUCAUGGGGAUAUUCCUUCAUUAUUUGGUUACCUGUCAAUGCUCGAUCCUAUUUCCCACCUUGUGCUUUGACUUCUUGCAUUUUUUCGUCUAAGUUAUUAGGCUACUGCUGCCUGGUUUGCGCAUGAUGAACCAUUGGUUAUGAUGCACUCGUGGCUGGUCUGCCUUUUUUAUGCUUUUUUAGUGACAACAUUCAGACUUAAUGUUUAUUACUUCAUUUCAGAGUUUUAAAUUAAGACAUCGUGGUCAAUUUAUAUGGUUUUAUGAAGUUUCACCUUCCCUUUGUCAUAUUGGUUUGAUCAAAUCAAUGGGAAGCCGGCAUUACUUUGAUGCUGAUGUUCUUGCUCAGUAUAAGCCAACAAUGGAGAAACUGACCAAGCUAUCUUUCAUGAUCAGUUA
Aegilops tauschii subsp. strangulata is the source of this 1545-nucleotide non-coding RNA. NCBI's taxonomy places the organism in Eukaryota, Viridiplantae, Streptophyta, Magnoliopsida, Poales, Poaceae. The record is from RefSeq and is a predicted model, not a curated record.